GGUAAAUGUAGCAUUAAAGGGUAAAUGUAGUGUUAGAGGGUAAAUGUAGCAUUAAAGGGUAAAUGUAGUGUUAGAGGGUAAAUGUAGUGUUAGAGGUUAAAUGUAGUGUUAGAGGGUAAAUGUAGCAUUAAAGGGUAAAUGUAGUGUUAGAGGGUAAAUGUGGUGUUAGAGGGUAAAUGUAGUGUUAGAGGGUAAAUGUAGUAGUAGAGGGUAAAUGUAGAGUUAGAGGGUAAAUGUAGCAUUAAAGGGUAAAUGUAGUGUUAGAGGGUAAAUGUAGUAGUAGAGGGUAAAUGUAGAGUUAGAGGGUAAAUGUAUUGUUAGAGGGUAAAUGUAGUGUUAGAGGGUAAACGUAGUGUUAAAGGGUAAAUGUAGCAUUAAAGGGUAAAUGUAGUGUUAGAGGGUAAAUGUAGAGUUAGAGGUAAAUGUAGCAUUAAAGGGUAAAUGUAGUGUUAGAGGGUAAAUGUAGUGUUAGAGGUUAAAUGUAGUGUUAGAGGGUAAAUGUAGCAUUAAAGGGUAAAUGUAGUGUUAGAGGGUAAAUGUAGCAUUAAAGGGUAAAUGUAGUGUUAGAGGGUAAAUGUGGUGUUAGAGG
Molecule: long non-coding RNA, 589 nt
Organism: Acanthochromis polyacanthus (spiny chromis)
Lineage: Eukaryota; Metazoa; Chordata; Actinopteri; Pomacentridae
Exons: 3
Source: RefSeq, a predicted model, not a curated record